UACGUAGGGUGCGAGCGUUGUCCGGAAUUAUUGGGCGUAAAGAGCUUGUAGGCGGUUUGUCACGUCUGCUGUGAAAGCCCGGGGCUUAACCCCGGGUCUGCAGUGGGUACGGGCAGGCUAGAGUAUGGUUGGGGAGACUGGAAUUCCUGGUGUAGCGGUGGAAUGCGCAGAUAUCAGGAGGAACACCGAUGGCGAAGGCAGGUCUCUGGGCCAUUACUGACGCUGAGAAGCGAAAGCAUGGGGAGCGAACAGG
RNAcentral lists this unclassified non-coding RNA (253 nucleotides) under uncultured Intrasporangiaceae bacterium. Its description in RNAcentral is "contains 16S-23S intergenic spacer region". It matches the Rfam family "Bacterial small subunit ribosomal RNA", at positions 524 to 776 of the family's 1533-position model. The record is from RNAcentral. Lineage: Bacteria; Bacillati; Actinomycetota; Actinomycetes; Micrococcales; Intrasporangiaceae.